RNAcentral lists this long non-coding RNA (217 nucleotides) under Lathyrus oleraceus (garden pea). Its description in RNAcentral is "Pisum sativum (pea) long non-coding RNA (PSAT_LNC013923)". Lineage: Eukaryota; Viridiplantae; Streptophyta; Magnoliopsida; Fabales; Fabaceae. The record is from RNAcentral.
AGGAAUUACAUCUAUCAGUUACUGGAUAGAAUACCGAAGAGAGAAUAUUCGUCAUUGGUUAAGAUGAGCAUAUCAAGGAUAGACUCCGAGGGGAGAAAUAGGAAUUAUAUCUAUCAGUUACUGGAUAGAUAACCAAAAAAAGAAUAUCUGUCACCAAUUAAGAUGAACAUAUCAAGGAUAGACUCCGUAAAGGGGAAACAGGAUUUACAACUACCGG